UCCCCCGUGAGGGGGCAGUCUCGCCUGACUAAUAAAACAGGCAACGAGGGUUGCGUUCGUUACCCCACUGAAGGGAACAACUCAAGCCACGAACUGACGACGACCAUGCAUCACCUGCAUAUCUGUCUUGCGAGGGCUCCGGUUUCCUGGAGCUUUCAGAUAUGUUUCAAACCCUGGUGAGGUUCUUCGUUUGUCAUCGAAUUGAGCCGCAUGAUCCACCGCUUGUGCAAGUCCCCGUCUAUUCCUUUGAGUUUUAAUCUUGCGAUCGUACUACCCAGGCGCAUCACUUAACGCGUUAGCUUCGCCUCAAAGAGGGUCGAUACUCCUUAAAGCCAGUGAUGAUCGUUUAGGGCGUGGACUA
RNAcentral lists this unclassified non-coding RNA (361 nucleotides) under uncultured bacterium. RNAcentral describes it as "contains 16S-23S intergenic spacer region". The record is from RNAcentral.